GGCCGUAUGGUGUAGUUGGUUAUCACGCAUCCUUCACACUCGUGCUCGGAUGAGGUCUUGAGUUCGAACCUCAAUGUGGUCA
This is a non-coding RNA of Ceratobasidium sp. AG-Ba, 82 nucleotides long. The record is from the annotation of a GenBank genome assembly. NCBI's taxonomy places the organism in Eukaryota, Fungi, Basidiomycota, Agaricomycetes, Cantharellales, Ceratobasidiaceae.